Molecule: ribosomal RNA, 116 nt
Organism: Thermovirga lienii DSM 17291
Lineage: Bacteria; Thermotogati; Synergistota; Synergistia; Synergistales; Thermovirgaceae
Source: Rfam
UCUGGUGGUCAUAGCGGAGGGGAAACACCCGGAUCCAUGCCGAACCCGGCAGUUAAGCCCUCCAGCGCCGAUGGUACUGCGAUGGGUAAUCGUGGGAGAGUAGGUCGCCGCCAGAA